GUUGGAUGUGGUGGCGCACACCUGUAAUCCCAGCAACUAGGAAGGCUGAGACAGGGGAUCACAAGUUUGAGGCCAGCUUCAGCAACUUAGUGAAACCCUGUCUCAA
RNAcentral lists this small RNA (106 nucleotides) under Marmota monax (woodchuck). The record is from RNAcentral. Lineage: Eukaryota; Metazoa; Chordata; Mammalia; Rodentia; Sciuridae.